UUGACCCUGUGGCCAGCCCAGAACUUCAAACACAGCCAGUCCAGCGGGUUUUCUCAGAGUCUCAGAGUGAUUCAGUGUCGUACAGAAGAGCCCUGAGAAGCUGAGCUCCUGUCUAGUCCCAGAGCCUUACACUAAAUCCCCCUACUGACUGUAUCCUUGACUUGUGCAAGACUGCUGGGUGAGGCAUCAUGAACUGGUUCCUCAGUUCACACCGUCACGACUGUGGUCACCAGUGUGCUAGUAAGUGCUAUAUGGAUAAACCCCAAGAGGCCAGUUGCCCAGUCCUAGAUGUCCAUAGUGGUACCUACCUGUAAUCCCAGAACUUGGCAAUCGGAGGCUAGCUCAAGGCCAUCCUUGUCUGUAUAACAAGCUUUUGGACAGCCUGGUUACUUGAGAAAUUGUCUAAAAACUAAAACAAAAGCCUCCUCGUUCACCCCCUCUAACUUGGUGAAGUUCAGGGAGGACAAGUGGUGGGCCCAAGGUCACAUCACGGGAGAGUGGAAGAGCCCAGCCUCAAGCCCAGGAUAGAUAGCUUUUCAGGGCUUUGGUACACUCCUCUGCAGUGAGGCUGGAGGUAUAAAGUGCAGUGUUUCCAGUAGGAGCCAACCCUACAGGUUUCGCAUGGCAAUAGGACCUGUUAUCAGCUCUCCACAUUCCCAGAGCAAUGGGUUUCCGGUUCAUCUCCUAGUCAAGCCAUUGUCUGGAGAAAGGAUGGUGGCGUCAUCUGUGGUGUGGCCUCCAGGCUGCGUGCUUUGAGACCGCCACUCCCUCCAGUCUCCUAGAUUGCACAAAGAUGGAAACGGAGCUUUAGCGGCAAGGUGACUCUCCAGCUUGUAAGUGCCUUAAAACCCCAGGGCUCUGGCACCACAUGGUUCUUACUUAUCCUGUGUUAGAAGUGCCAGCAGGCAGAUGCAGGCCAGAGGUGAACAAUUCAGGCUCUCGUUUGCUGACUUGCAAAGACUAUUUAUAUCCUGGUCCCAAAACUCAUUGUUCACAUUUGGAAGGAUUCCCACCCUGGGUCCCUAACAAGCAAUUCCUGUGGAUAUAGGCUGGGCAUAGGCAAGAAUAGGACAGAGAGGUUGGAGAUGGAGACAGAUCUGAAGCCAGCCAGGAAGGCGUUAGCAGGGUAGAGACUAGAGAAAGCCAAACCCAGGGGGACAUUGUCACUGGGACUGCAGGAGCAGACACAGGAACAUAAUAAACAAUUCCUCUUAGUGAGGCACCGUUGGACUGUGGACGGCCCAGUGGAUGGGGACAUUCUCCACUCCAGAUGUUCAGUUAGAUGAUGUCCCAUGCUCACUCACAAGAACAGCAGGUGUGAAGGAGCCCCUGCCUGGUGUCCAGAGACAUGAUUGGAUAGUGGUAGAGUAGAGACAGUUUGGUUAUUGUUUGAAAGACUUAGUGUUUUAAAUUAUGCAUGUAUGUGUGUCUGUGUGGGGCUAUAUUCACAUGAGGUGCAGGUGCCCAAGGAGGCUAGAAUAGGAAGUCAGAAACCCUGAAGUUCAUAGGCAGUUGUGAGCUACCCAGAGCAGAGGCUGGGAAUCCAUCCUGCAAACACAGAAGUAUGUACUCUUAACCACAGGCGCCUCUCCUGGUCCACAGAGACAGUUAUUAAUAAGACCAUUCUCAGGCCAUGCAUGAUGGCAAACACCUUUAAUCCCAGCACUUGGAAGGAAGGAGGAUCUCUGGGAGUUCAAGGCCAGCAUGGUCUAGUCCAGCCAGGGCCACAAAGUGAGACCCAGUCUCAACAAACAAACAAGCAAAAAACCAACAACCAAAAGCAAAACACAGAUCUUGCUGCACGGAACUGGAAGGAGAAGCCUGGUUGUGGAGGCACGUCUUCCAGGGAAAGGCAGCCUGUCACCAGAGCCAGGAAGCCAUGGAACCUAACAUCCCGUGGCUCCAUUCAGCCUUGGUCUGACCAGCGCAGAGUGGGUAACCCCCAGCGGUCCUUGAACAAGUCUGCUUUUCAUUCACUAGAGCUCUAUUUGGUUUAUAAUCAUCCUCACUACAAAGACUGCACACACGGAAGCUCUCAGUGAAGAUUAGCUGCUUAGCACUUGGCACAGUAACCGAUGCUCAACCCCAGUGAUUCCAAAGAUUUCCUGACUGGAGUCCCCAGGGUUUGUCCGAUAGCCAGGUCUUACCCCAUGGGAAUUCUUGUUCACUCUAGAUCGGGACCUGGAAAACCCAGGACUCAAGGUUCUACCAAAGUAGCCUUGCCAUGAGGGAUGUUUGGAGAAUGGUGUAUUAAACUGAAUACUCCCAGUGACCUGGAGAGAAAAGUUUGAUCGUACCACAUUCAUUCAGUUAAGGGCAGUGAGACUCAGAGACAUUGAAUGAUCUAAUUAAUUUGUCACACAGCCCACAAGUAGCAGAGUUGAGUUUCAAACCUGGGUCAACAUAAUUUUCAUAGCUCCUGUAGAGAGUAGGUGAAAGCAACUGCCUGUAUGCCUCAAGAUUCGGAGAUACUAGAAAAAAGCAAGGGGAAAUAGAGAGUGAAAACUAUUUUUUUAAAGUGAUGUGAUAGCAAGAUGAUUCAGAGGGUAAAGGCAUUUGCUGCCAAACCUGGAAUCCUCAUGGUUGGAGGUACGAACCAACUGUGAGGGCUAAAGUUAAGUUUAAAUUACCAAGCCUAAGAAAUCUUGGGCUGGAGAGAUGGCUCAUCGAUUAAGAGCAUUGACUGCUCUUCCUGAAGGUCCUGAGUUCAAAUCCCAGCAGCCACACGAUACUUCACAAACCAUCUGUAAUGAGAACAGAUGCCCUCUUCUGGUGUGUCUGAAGUCAGCUACAGUGUACUUACAUAUAAUAAAAUAAAUAUAUCUAAAAAAGCAAAACAGCUGGGUGUGGUGGCGCACGCCUUUAAUCCCAGCACUUGGGAGGCAGAGGCAGGUGGAUUUCUGAGUUCGAGGCCAGCCUGGUCUACAGAGUGAGUUCCAGGACAGCCAGGGCUAUACAGAGAAACCCUGUCUCGAAAAAAAACAAAAACCAAACAAACAAAAAAAGCAAAACAAGCAAACAAAAAACCUAGCCAGCACAGACAGAGUCACUUCAGGAGCUGAUGAUUUGCUGUUUGCUUAUCAAAACUUUCUUCAAAAUAGUCAUUAUCCACUCAAGGUCACCUAGCCAGAAAGGUGCAUGUGUCUUACGUUCUCAGGGCUAGCGUGGCUUACGGUUGAACACAGCAAGAUUCGUCUUGACUAAUUUCACACUUUCCCUCAAGGACUCAAGCUCUCAGACCCAACACAGUUCUCUCUCUCAUCUCUGCAACUCUCUCUGCUUUCCAAACCAGUGACACAGUAUUCCCAUUAUCCCUGGGGACAGAUGUCUCAUAACAAACAUGUUCUAAAACUCAAGUACGAAACUCAAGAAUGAGCCUCUUGCUGCUUGCAGAGAUGCUGCUGUCUGUUUCCAAGCAUCAACAGUCGUGUCUGGGGCUUUAAAAAUCAGUAGGAAGAUCCACUUCAAAUCCAGAUCUUGAGGGGGAAGAUAACGAUACACAUCUUUAACCUGGGCCAUACUUUCUGUUGGAAGUCCGUAUACGGUCAUGGAAGAACGCCGCUUUUGCUCUUUGCCUGCUUGCUCUCACCUUGUUGGCAAGUCCAUCUCCCCCUUGGCAUGAGAUCCUGCUUCUUCAAGAUUCCAGUGUACACUGAAGACUAGCCGAGGCAUCCAGCCCCAUGGACUGGGCAACUUCUAGAUUCUUGGACUUUCAGUUCACAGCCCACCAUUGUUGGAUUAGCUGGACUGGAGCCUGUAAGUCAUUGCAAUAAAUCCCCUUUGUAUAUAUA
This is a long non-coding RNA of Mus musculus (house mouse), 3791 nucleotides long. RefSeq annotates it as predicted gene, 40522. The record is from RefSeq and is a predicted model, not a curated record. Lineage: Eukaryota; Metazoa; Chordata; Mammalia; Rodentia; Muridae. The transcript is spliced from 2 exons.